GUCACAGAGCCAGACCCACCCCAGACCCUCCCCUCCCCCUCCUCAGAAAGCCUCCUUAGGGGCUCAAUCCAUUUCUUCUGUCAGGAGAUGGAGGCACAGGGAGAGAAAGAAGUGGGAGAGGAGGAUGCUGGAGAGGCAGGGAGGUGGCACAAAUGAAGGCAGAGGUGGUUUCUCUGCUCUCUCAUUUUGCCUGAAGGCCUGUUAUAAGCUAUAGGCCAGAAACUAGGUCUUCUGAAAUUAACAACAAAGAAGAGCCUCCGAGCCCUGGGAGGAAGGACUGUAUCAGAUACUCCAAUUAUUGAUACUGCAAGAAAUACACUCACGGCUGCAGGUUUCCCAGAGAAGCUAAUCUUACCACUGUGGGUGGAGACCUGUCAGACUGUACCUGGGGCAUCGUUCGGAACUUCCAGGACUCCUGUAACCCAGCAGUAGAAGACUUUGUGAAAGCAGACAGCUGAUCCAAGUUCUUUCUCCCAACAGCUAGUUCUGCUGACCAACAGCAACCCCAGCUUACCACCAGAAACUUGACCGUGGAAGUGCAGAGGUGGUAGCCUCACAGAGACAACAGCUCUCUCUCCAUGACAGUCCUGCUUGGGUACUGGACGUGCUUGACCUCUCAGCGUUGCCUGCAAGCUCUGACUUGUCCGUCUGACUCGUCCUUCAGUAGGUCUAGUUAGGGCUUAUUCUCUGACCUUGUGAUCCCUCUUCCAGAACUUCACUUCUCCAGCUCCUCCCACAAUUGGGUAAUGUCCAAU
RNAcentral lists this long non-coding RNA (755 nucleotides) under Equus caballus (horse). RNAcentral describes it as "lncRNA (ENSECAG00000044303.1)". Lineage: Eukaryota; Metazoa; Chordata; Mammalia; Perissodactyla; Equidae. The record is from RNAcentral.